AGAGAGAGACAUGCGCGCAUAUCAAUAAGCGGAGGAAAAGAAACUAACAAGGAUUCCCCUAGUAACGGCGAAUGAAGCGGGAAGAGCUCAAAUUUGAAAUCUUAAAGGGUUUCCCUUUACGAAUUGUAGUUUAAAGAAGUGUUUUCUGUUGAGGUUUUGGUAAAAGUUCUUUGGAAUAGGACAUCAUAGAGGGUGAGAAUCCCGUAUUUGACCUUUACUUUCAACUUUGUGAUACACUUUCAAAGAGUCGGAUUGUUUGGGAAUGCAGUCCAAAAUGGGUGGUAAAUUUCAUCUAAAGCUAAAUAUUGGCGAGAGACCGAUAGCGAACAAGUAUCGUGAGGGAAAGAUGAAAAGAACUUUGAAAAGAGAGUUAAACAGUACGUGAAAUUGUCAAAAGGGAAGCGUUUGACACCAGUGUUGUUUUUCUGAAAAUCAAUUAAAGAACUGUUUAUGCUAAGUUGUUUAGACUUUAUCAGCUAACUGUUUAGUUUUGAGCUUUUCUUUAAUGCACUUUUCAGUUAACAAGUCAACAUCAAUUUCUUUUGCUGUAAAAAAGCUUGAGGAAGGUGGCUUGAGAUUCGUCUUAAGUGUUUAUAGCCUCUUGCCUAUGCAGUCGGAGAGAUUGAGGUCUGCAGCGUAGAUCCUUCGGGGCUAAAUGCAUUUGUGCUAAGUUAUAGCAUUUUAUAGACAACUUGUUGACUAUGAUUUGUCUUGUAGCUUACUCGCUUAUGUUAUUUUACCUACGCUUAGGAUGUUGACGCAUGAGAUAUACGC
RNAcentral lists this ribosomal RNA (774 nucleotides) under uncultured Neocallimastigales. RNAcentral's name for it is "partial large subunit ribosomal RNA". It matches the Rfam family "Eukaryotic large subunit ribosomal RNA", at positions 23 to 646 of the family's 3401-position model. The record is from RNAcentral. Lineage: Eukaryota; Fungi; Neocallimastigomycota; Neocallimastigomycetes; Neocallimastigales.